Molecule: ribosomal RNA, 352 nt
Filed under: Eukaryota sp.
Lineage: Eukaryota
Description: SSU rRNA
Rfam family: Eukaryotic small subunit ribosomal RNA
Source: RNAcentral
GCGUUAACGAACGAGACCUUAACCUGCUAAAUAGUCCGGCCGGCUUUUGCUGGUCGCAGACUUCUUAGAGGGACUGUCAGCGUCUAGCUGACGGAAGUUUGAGGCAAUAACAGGUCUGUGAUGCCCUUAGAUGUUCUGGGCCGCACGCGCGCUACACUGACAGAGCCAGCGAGUUCUCACCUUGGCCGGAAGGUCUGGGUAAUCUUUUGAAACUUGAUCGUGCUGGGGAUAGUCCAUUGCAAUUAUUGGACUUCAACGAGGAAUUCCUAGUAAGCGUGAGUCAUCAGCUCGCGUUGAUUACGUCCCUGCCCUUUGUACACACCGCCCGUCGCUAUUACCGAUUGAAUGGCUU